RNAcentral lists this transfer RNA (71 nucleotides) under Drosophila persimilis. It matches the Rfam family "tRNA". Rfam says of the family: Transfer RNA (tRNA) molecules are approximately 80 nucleotides in length. Their secondary structure includes four short double-helical elements and three loops (D, anti-codon, and T loops). Lineage: Eukaryota; Metazoa; Arthropoda; Insecta; Diptera; Drosophilidae. The record is from Rfam by way of RNAcentral.
GGCGAUGUAGCUCAUUGGUAGAGCGCUCGCUUUGCAUGUGAGAGGCCCAGGUUCAAUCCCCGGCAUCUCCA